ACCUGCGGAAGGAUCAUUAUUGAAUGAACUUGGUGUGGUUGUAGCUGGCCCUCUUGAAAAGGGCAUGUGCACACCCACCAUCCUCAUCUCUCCACCUGUGCACCUCUUGUAGACUUGGAUUGACUUUCCGAGGCAACUCGGUCGGGAGGACUGCUGCUGGCACUAGCUGGCUUUCCUUGCAUUUCCAAGUCUACGUUUUUCAUAUACCCUAUCGUAUGUAAUAGAAUGUAUCAUUGGGCACUUGUGCCUAUAAACCUUAUACAACUUUCAGCAACGGAUCUCUUGGCUCUCGCAUCGAUGAAGAACGCAGCGAAAUGCGAUAAGUAAUGUGAAUUGCAGAAUUCAGUGAAUCAUCGAAUCUUUGAACGCACCUUGCGCUCCUUGGUAUUCCGAGGAGCAUGCCUGUUUGAGUGUCAUUAAAUUCUCAACCUUUAUCAGCUUUUGUUGAUAAUGGCUUGGAUAUGGGGGUUUAUUUUUGCUGGCUUCUUCACGGAUGGUCAGCUCCCCUUAAAUGCAUUAGCCGGUGCCCCGCGUGGACUGUCUAUUGGUGUGAUAAUUAUCUACGCCGUGGACAUCUGCAGUCAUAUGGGUUUGCACUGCUUCUAACCGUCUGUUCAUUCAGACAAUAUAUGACAAUUUGACC
Molecule: ribosomal RNA, 643 nt
Filed under: Hebeloma cf. tomentosum JCS101905C
Lineage: Eukaryota; Fungi; Basidiomycota; Agaricomycetes; Agaricales; Hymenogastraceae
Description: eukaryotic LSU rRNA
Rfam family: 5.8S ribosomal RNA (bases 263-416)
Source: RNAcentral